GACAGCAGCCGCCGCGGUAAAACGGAGGGUGCAAGCGUUAAUCGGAAUUACUGGGCGUAAAGCGCACGCAGGCGGUCUGACAAGUCAGAUGUGAAAUCCCCGGGCUUAACCUGGGAACUGCAUUUGAAACUGUCAGGCUGGAGUCUUGUAGAGGGGGGUGGAAUUCCAGGUGUAGCGGUGAAAUGCGUAGAGAUCUGGAGGAAUACCGGUGGCGAAGGCGGCCCCCUGGACAAAGACUGACGCUCAGGUGCGAAAGCGUGGGGAGCAAACAGGAUUAGAUACCCCUGUAGUCCCUGUCUCUUAUAC
Molecule: ribosomal RNA, 306 nt
Filed under: uncultured bacterium
Lineage: Bacteria
Description: partial 16S ribosomal RNA
Rfam family: Bacterial small subunit ribosomal RNA
Source: RNAcentral